Molecule: long non-coding RNA, 2120 nt
Organism: Bos taurus (domestic cattle)
Lineage: Eukaryota; Metazoa; Chordata; Mammalia; Artiodactyla; Bovidae
Source: Ensembl
GAUGAGAUGGCUGGAUGGAAUCACUGACUCGAUGGACGUGAGUCUGGGUGAACUCCAGGAGUUGGUGAUGGACAGGGAGGCCUGGGGUGCUGUGAAUCAUGGGGUUGCAAAGAGACGGACACGACUGAGCAACUGAACUGAACUGAUGAUCGGGGUUAAUAUCAUGUGCUCAUGUUCAGUUGCUCAGUUGUGUCCGAUUCUUUGUGACCUCAUAGAGUGUAGCCCUCCAGGCUCCUCUGUCUCUGGGAUUUUCCAGGCAAGAAUAUUAGAAUGGGUUGCCAUUUCUUUUUCAGAGGAUCUUCACGACCAAGCGAUUGAACUUGAGUCUUCUGCACUGGCAGGUGGAUUAUUUACCACUGAGCUACCUGGGAAGCCCCAUGGAUUGAAGGAGAGUCCUGGGCUUAUAAAAUACUCUAUUUCCUCCAUUAAUUGUGCCCGAGUGGAGUUGUAACCAAGUAGCUGAAACAAAUAAAAUGUAGUGAACUGCAGCAAGGGAACUGAGCGCUCAGUUAAAGUUGCAGAUAUUGUCCCUUGGAUCCCUCAUACGAGGGUGAAGAGAACAUAACUACUCAGACCCAAAAAACGCUGAGUGGACUGCACAGAGGGACCCCGCUGACCCUCGGGAGACUAAGACCAUCCUUAAGAAGAAGGAAAAGAAGAUCCUGGACGAGCCCCUUCAGGAUGAAGCCACACAAUCAACUCCUGCUGCUUGGCCUCAUCAACGUGAUUUUGAAUUUGACUUCUGUUUCAACUCAGGACAAUGUUUUCAUCUCAUGGGCACAUUCCUACGCAGACUUCCACAACACUUCCAACUGCUGGAUAUGUAGGGCUAUGCCUCUGUCAGUGAUGGAUGGACUUCCUUGGUGGGUGUCACCACUCUGCCAAGGAGAUUUUAAACCACUCUGCUCUUUUCUGGGAUGACAAAAAGAGACUUUCCUCUCUCUUGUCAAUCAUAACCUCUCCUUGCUCUUUUGGUGUAAGACCUACAGUCAAUAGACUCGGGUCAUGGGGUUACAUUUGAUAUAAAUGCCAGUGUAACAAAAGCCUAACCUACUUGUUGUAAAUCUACCCCAGUAGCCCAGGUAAAUCUACCUUAUUUACAUGCUAGGUGGACAAGAUCCGUGUUUCAAUGAUAUGAGUAUAUUGCUGCCUUAUUCGUACCCUCUAUAGGGACAACAGAUAUUAUGAUUAAAGUAGAGGCCUUGACUAAUUUCACAAAACAGGCCCUCCUAGAUAGAACAAAAGCCAUCCAAGCCUUAAAUGAAGAGCAAAUCCAAAUGAGAAAAGCGAUAAUUCAUGAUAGAAUGGCUUUGGACAUAUUCACAGCUGCUCAAGGAGGGACCUGUGCUAUAAUUAAGUUUGAAUGUUGUGUAUACAUCCCUGACUUAUCUGGCAAUGUAUCAACUGCUUUAGAUGACCAGUCUGGCUUUAGAAAAACCAGGUAAAAGCAAUGUCAAAUGAAAACAUUCCUUUUUGGACUUUGAUCCUAUCUUGGGUGAAGGGCGAUUGGUGGAAAACUAUAUUUACCACUGUUAUAGUUGUCUUGAUAGUUCUGCUUUGUGGACCCUGAAUUUUACAAUGUAUUAUGACCUCUGUAACCGGAAGGUUGAUGUCAUUCUCCCAAAUUGGUGGUCAGAGAGCCAGGGUGCAAUAUAUCCCUAUGAAUGAUGCUCAUAAUAUGAGUUAAGAGCAUCAAGAGCGGGGUGGGGGGGAUGAAGAAGGAAUUCAUAGGGCUUGGACUCCAUCUUAGGCCUGUUCAUGCUGAUCAUGCUCGGCCACCUUUCCAAUGGACUCUGAACUCUGUGUUUGGUGCCUAUGAAAACAACAACAGAAGGAAGGAUAAGACCCCUCCAGACAGGGGAACCUUGAAGAUUGUAUGUAGGUUACUCAUCGCCUAAGAGAAAACAUACACUUAUCACCCCUUCCUCCAGACAGGCCAUAAAUUUUUCUGUAUGUAUCAGAGUGUAACCUCGGGUUUAUUGAUUAUUGGCUAAUUGUUUGACUGUUUGAGCACAUGAGCACAUAGCACAUGAAUGAUGGGGUUAUUGGGAUUGUAUUUUCCUUGGUUUAUGUAAGUCUCAAGGAAUUUGGAGUGGUGGGUUCAGACACGUACACAUGGG